UCUUCUUCCCUUUCUUCUAUUUCCUUUCUCCCUUUCCUCUGUUUUCAAUGCUAGGUUGUGGUUCUGCCAUAACAGGAAAUUGACAAGCUUUGCUCUUCUUGCAUAUUUCUGUCACUUGCAAACAAUCGGCCCACACCGCUCUUCUGAUAGCUUAGAGUUGGUUGUUUGAUGGGCUUUGGCCUUUAAUUUUAGAGCUACUUUCUGGGCCUCAAGUUUUUAUCUAUUCUAUGUGUUUGGACUUGUUGGUUAAUUACUG
Molecule: unclassified non-coding RNA, 256 nt
Filed under: Hevea brasiliensis (rubber tree)
Lineage: Eukaryota; Viridiplantae; Streptophyta; Magnoliopsida; Malpighiales; Euphorbiaceae
Source: RNAcentral